CUCCAGAUGUUGCUGAACUACAACUCCCAUGAUUCUAUGAAUGAAUUAGAUAGGCUGAGAAUCAUGGGAGUUGUAGUUCAGCAACAUCUGGAG
This 93-nucleotide microRNA precursor is filed under the name Pelobates cultripes (western spadefoot toad). Lineage: Eukaryota; Metazoa; Chordata; Amphibia; Anura; Pelobatidae. The record is from RNAcentral.